AACGAACGCUGGCGGCAUGCCUAACACAUGCAAGUCGAACGAGACCUUCGUGUCUAGUGGCGCACGGGUGCGUAACGCGUGGGAACCUGCCCUUAGGUUCGGAAUAACUCCCCGAAAGGGGUGCUAAUACCGGAUAAUGUCUUCGGACCAAAGAUUUAUCGCCUUUGGAUGGGCCCGCGUUGGAUUAGCUGGUUGGUAGGGUAAAAGCCUACCAAGGCGACGAUCCACAGCUGGUCUGAGAGGAUGAUCAGCCACACUGGGACUGAGACACGGCCCAGACUCCUACGGGAGGCAGCAGUGGGGAAUAUUGGACAAUGGGCGAAAGCCUGAUACAGCAAUGCCGCGGGAGUGAUGAAGGCCUUAGGGUUGUAAAGCUCUUUUACCCGGGAUGAUAAUGACAGUACCGGGAGAAUAAGCUCCGGCUAACUCCGUG
This 433-nucleotide ribosomal RNA is filed under the name uncultured bacterium. RNAcentral's name for it is "partial 16S ribosomal RNA". It matches the Rfam family "Bacterial small subunit ribosomal RNA", at positions 29 to 507 of the family's 1533-position model. The record is from RNAcentral.